RNAcentral lists this ribosomal RNA (482 nucleotides) under uncultured Saprospiraceae bacterium. RNAcentral describes it as "bacterial SSU rRNA". It matches the Rfam family "Bacterial small subunit ribosomal RNA", at positions 28 to 505 of the family's 1533-position model. Lineage: Bacteria; Pseudomonadati; Bacteroidota; Saprospiria; Saprospirales; Saprospiraceae. The record is from RNAcentral.
GAUGAACGCUAGCGGGAGGCUUAAUACAUGCAAGUCGUACGGUAACAUUGGAGCUUGCUCCAGAUGACGAGUGGCGCACGGGUGAGUAACGCGUACACGACCUACCUUUAAGAGGGGGAUAGCCUUUGGAAACGAAGAAUAAUACCCCAUGUGAUUAACUUUUCUAAAAUGGUUAAUUAAAGGAUUCGUCCGCUUAAAGAUGGGUGUGCGUACUAUUAGCUUGUUGGUGAGGUAACGGCUCACCAAGGCGACGAUAGUUAGGGGGCGUGAGAGCGUGACCCCCCACACGGGUACUGAGACACGGACCCGACUCCUACGGGAGGCAGCAGUAAGGAAUAUUGGACAAUGGGCGCAAGCCUGAUCCAGCCAUCCCGCGUGCAGGAUGAAGGCCCUCUGGGUCGUAAACUGCUUUUAUAUACCAAGAAUAGCAGAUAUUUAUAUUUGUAUGACGGUAGUAUAUGAAUAAGCACCGGCUAACUCCG